GGUGGGGGGUGGCUUUACACAUGCAGUCGCACGGAUCUUUCGGGAUCAGUGGCGGACGGGUGAGUAACGCGUAGGGAUCUAUCCAUGGGUGGGGGACAACUCCGGGAAACUGGAGCUAAUACCGCAUGAUACCUGAGGGUCAAAGGCGCAAGUCGCCUGUGGAGGAACCUGCGUUCGAUUAGCUAGUUGGUGGGGUAAAGGCCUACCAAGGCGAUGAUCGAUAGCUGGUUUGAGAGGAUGAUCAGCCACACUGGGACUGAGACACGGCCCAGACUCCUACGGGAGGCAGCAGUGGGGAAUAUUGGACAAUGGGCGAAAGCCUGAUCCAGCAAUGCCGCGUGUGUGAAGAAGGUCUUCGGAUUGUAAAGCACUUUCGACGGGGACGAUGAUGACGGUACCCGUAGAAGAAGCCCCGGCUAACUUCGUGCCAGCAGCCGCGGUAAUACGAAGGGGGCUAGCGUUGCUCGGAAUGACUGGGCGUAAAGGGCGCGUAGGCGGUUUAUGCAGUCAGAUGUGAAAUCCCCGGGCUUAACCUGGGAACUGCAUUUGAGACGCAUAGACUAGAGGUCGAGAGAGGGUUGUGGAAUUCCCAGUGUAGAGGUGAAAUUCGUAGAUAUUGGGAAGAACACCGGUGGCGAAGGCGGCAACCUGGCUCGAUACUGACGCUGAGGCGCGAAAGCGUGGGGAGCAAACAGGAUUAGAUACCCUGGGUAGUCCACGCUGUAAACGAUGUGUGCUGGAUGUUGGGUAACUUAGUUACUCAGUGUCGAAGCUAACGCGCUAAAGCACACCGCCUGGGGAGUACGGCCGCAAGGUUGAAACUCAAAGGGAAUUGACGGGGGCCCGCACAAGCGGUGGGAGCAUGUGGUUUAAUUUCCAAGCAACGCGCAGAACCUUACCAGGACUUGCAUGGGGAGGACGUACUCAGAGAUGGGUAUUUCUUUCCGACCUCCCGCACAGGUGGCUGCAUGGCUUGUCGUCCAGCUUCGUGUCGUGAGAUGUUGGGUUAAAGUCCCCGCAACGAAGCGCAACCCUUUGUCUUUUAGUUUGCCCAGCCA
Molecule: ribosomal RNA, 1058 nt
Filed under: Gluconobacter oxydans
Lineage: Bacteria; Pseudomonadati; Pseudomonadota; Alphaproteobacteria; Acetobacterales; Acetobacteraceae
Description: bacterial SSU rRNA
Rfam family: Bacterial small subunit ribosomal RNA
Source: RNAcentral